RNAcentral lists this ribosomal RNA (492 nucleotides) under uncultured bacterium. RNAcentral describes it as "partial 16S ribosomal RNA". It matches the Rfam family "Bacterial small subunit ribosomal RNA", at positions 29 to 507 of the family's 1533-position model. The record is from RNAcentral.
AGUGAACGCUGGCGGUAGGCCUAACACAUGCAAGUCGAACGGCAGCACAGUAAGAGCUUGCUCUUAUGGGUGGCGAGUGGCGGACGUGUGAGGAAUACAUCGGAAUCUACUUUUUCGUGGGGGAUAACGUAGGGAAACUUACGCUAAUACCGCAUACGACCUACGGGUGAAGGCAGGGGAUCUUUGGACCUUUCGCGAUUGAAUGAGCCGAUGUCGGAUUAGCUAGUUGGCGGGGUAAUGGCCCACCAAGGCGACGAUCCGUAGCUGGUCUGAGAGGAGGAUCGGCCACACUGGAGGUGAGACACGGUCCAGACUCCUACGAGAGGCAGCAGUGUGGAAUGUUGGGCAAUGGGCGCAAGCCUGACCCAGCCAUAGCGCGUGGGUGAAGAAGGCGUUCGGGUUGUAAAGCCCUUUUGUUGGGAAAGAAAAGCAGCAGGUUAAUACCCCGCUGUUCUGACGGUACCGAAAGAAUAAGCACCGGCUAACUUCGUG